RNAcentral lists this ribosomal RNA (481 nucleotides) under uncultured bacterium. RNAcentral's name for it is "partial 16S ribosomal RNA". It matches the Rfam family "Bacterial small subunit ribosomal RNA", at positions 30 to 507 of the family's 1533-position model. The record is from RNAcentral.
UUGAACGCUGGCGGCAUGCUCUACACAUGCCAGUCGAACGGUAACAGGCCGCAAGGUGCUGACGAGUGGCGAACGGGUGAGUAAUGCAUCGGAACGUGCCCAGUCGUGGGGGAUAACUACUCGAAAGAGUAGCUAAUACCGCAUACGAUCUAUGGAUGAAAGCGGGGGACCGUAAGGCCUCGCGCGAUUGGAGCGGCCGAUGUCAGAUUAGGUAGUUGGUGGGGUAAAGGCUCACCAAGCCAACGAUCUGUAGCUGGUCUGAGAGGACGACCAGCCACACUGGGACUGAGACACGGCCCAGACUCCUACGGGAGGCAGCAGUGGGGAAUUUUGGACAAUGGGCGCAAGCCUGAUCCAGCAAUGCCGCGUGCAGGAAGAAGGCCUUCGGGUUGUAAACUGCUUUUGUACGGAACGAAACGGCUCUGGUUAAUACCCGGGGCUAAUGACGGUACCGUAAGAAUAAGCACCGGCUAACUACGUG